RNAcentral lists this small nuclear RNA (18 nucleotides) under Arabidopsis thaliana (thale cress). Its description in RNAcentral is "snRNA_16316". Lineage: Eukaryota; Viridiplantae; Streptophyta; Magnoliopsida; Brassicales; Brassicaceae. The record is from RNAcentral.
UUUCGAUGCGUUUCUACC